AAUCUAUUCCCUCCGUCCCAAAAUUCUUGUCUUACAUUUGUUUAAAUACGGAUGUAUCUAGUUACAUUUUAGUGUUAGAUACAUCCAUAUAUAGACAAAUCUAAGACAAGAAUUUUGGGACGGAGGGAGUACCAC
Non-coding RNA from Triticum aestivum (bread wheat), 135 nucleotides. The record is from Rfam. NCBI's taxonomy places the organism in Eukaryota, Viridiplantae, Streptophyta, Magnoliopsida, Poales, Poaceae.